CUUUUUGAAGCGCCGCCGGCGCCGCAGGAAGCUGCCGUUCUCGAACAUGUUGUAGGAGUCCGGGUCCAGGGUCCAGUAACUGCCCUUGCCGGGCUUCUUGUCGUCGCGGGGCACCUUGACGAAGCACUCGUUGAGCGAGAGGUUGUGGCGGAUGCUGUUCUGCCAGCCCUGCUUGUUCUCCCGGUAGAAGGGGAAGCGGUCCAUGAUGAACUGGUAGAUGCCGUUCAAGGGAGUUUCCAGGCUCGGGGUCGUCAAGGAUAACCUAUCGAGGUUUUAGAGGUAAACCCUACAAACUGAGUUUCCCUCGCUCCCCGCCGAGGAGCCAGGCAGCGGAGUGCAUAGAGGGGAAGGUAGCAACGUGCUGACUGACAACUUAAUCCUCCGAAUUCGCGGGGAAUUCGGUAGAUCAUCCGCGUCGCUGCGAGCAGUUUUGUGGGGUUUGGGGAAAAGGGUGAAGUGACUCUGCUAUUUCCCCCUUUCGUCUCCCGCGUGGACACUCGCAGCCUACCAACUUCAGCUUCGAAACUCGUCUCCCUUUUCCCAGGUUUCCUUGCACCCUUCCUGGCUGUUCAUCGGCUGCGUAUUCGAUUCUCAGCAAAAGGAUGUUGAGACAACCCACCAGGCCUCUUCGCUUCGGCCUCUUCGCUUCGGGGAGGCGACUAGAAGGCAAUGGGGCGUGCCACUUAUUUCCAAUAAAAGAACAGAAGACGAAAAUGUAGAUGCAUUAUCUUUGUCUCCUGAUCAAUUCAAAGCCAAAGGGAAGCUACAAAUCAGGUUCCUUUACCUUGAAUAUUCCACUUCUGAAACAUUGUUUUUAUGAGUAUUCUGGGCUCUUUUUCUAACCUGAUCCUUUUUCUUCUUUCUUUGAAACAAAGUAAAAUAAAGCUGCCCAGUUCUCAGCUCACAGGCAAAUGAUUUGAGCUUUCUGCCCCAACCCUAAACUCCCAC
RNAcentral lists this long non-coding RNA (948 nucleotides) under Homo sapiens (human). RNAcentral describes it as "non-protein coding FOXC2-AS1:4". Lineage: Eukaryota; Metazoa; Chordata; Mammalia; Primates; Hominidae. The record is from RNAcentral.